GGGGCUGAUUCUGGAUUCGACGGGAUUUGCGAAACCCAAGGUGCAUGCCGAGGGGCGGUUGGCCUCGUAAAAAGCCGCAAAAAAUAGUCGCAAACGACGAAAACUACGCUUUAGCAGCUUAAUAACCUGCUUAGAGCCCUCUCUCCCUAGCCUCCGCUCUUAGGACGGGGAUCAAGAGAGGUCAAACCCAAAAGAGAUCGCGUGGAAGCUCUGCCUGGGGUUGAAGCGUUAAAACUUAAUCAGGCUAGUUUGUUAGUGGCGUGUCCGUCCGCAGCUGGCAAGCGAAUGUAAAGACUGACUAAGCAUGUAGUACCGAGGAUGUAGGAAUUUCGGACGCGGGUUCAACUCCCGCCAGCUCCACCA
Molecule: transfer-messenger RNA, 363 nt
Filed under: Escherichia coli
Lineage: Bacteria; Pseudomonadati; Pseudomonadota; Gammaproteobacteria; Enterobacterales; Enterobacteriaceae
Also listed under: 1 other name
Rfam family: transfer-messenger RNA
About the family: Bacterial tmRNA, also known as 10Sa RNA or SsrA, is named for its dual tRNA and mRNA-like properties.
Source: RNAcentral